CAUCAUAAAUAGUCUUGGCCCGGGUUUUGUAAGUCUUUUUUCUCCUUUGCGUAGCAAGGCGUGUGGGACUUGAAUGUGGGAUUUCGUUCGUUUCCCCGGCGCCCGCCGCAGAGGCUGCCCCUGAGCGAGGGUGGGGCGUCCGGCCAUGGCGCCCCGCGCCAUCUUGGCACAUCGCUGCGUGCAGGCUCCUGAGCACUGCACGUGGGUUUGCAGCGCCACACGGGGAUUUUAAGACGUCCACUAGGGUGUCAUCUUUGGAUAAAGUGUGAGUGCUGGAAGCUCAAGCCAGGGGCAGUGUCCUCCCCACAGUGUCUGCAUUAACUUGAUGACUGAAGGCCUAAGGAAUUGGAAUCUACCUCCUUGGAGAAGUGCUGUCAGAUGGCUGGCAAGCCUGGUGGUGGUGGUUCCUGAUACCUAAUUCACAGGCUGUGACAAAAAGAGAGCCAUGUGCCUUCUCCAUGGCUGCUGUGGUGAGUGUCAUCCAUCUUGGCAACCAGCCCCAGAGUGGGAAUGAUGACCUGGUGGACUAGAGUCUCUGAGCUUUUCUCUGAGGAUCUUUGAAACCACCUGAUCCACUCUUCCCUCCCUCAACUCUGUGGCAUCUCACCUGCCCACCUGCUUUAUUUUUUUUUCUUUUACUAAUUGCCUACAUGGUUAUAACGUGUUCCUUUUAUGAAAUUAUAAGAUUUUGUUGGCACAAAGAAUGUCUUCUAUCUGGUGUUGGACAGAUGUAGAAACUUGGCAUCUGUUCUUUCCUGUAUUACCUGUAUGAGCAGCUGACAACUUGUGAAAAAAAAACUGUUCAGAAAUUUUAGUCACUAUACAAGCGCCUGUUUUUUUUUUUUUUUU
Molecule: long non-coding RNA, 849 nt
Organism: Trichechus manatus latirostris (Florida manatee)
Lineage: Eukaryota; Metazoa; Chordata; Mammalia; Sirenia; Trichechidae
Exons: 4
Source: RefSeq, a predicted model, not a curated record